UGCCCCCCCCAAAAAAACAAUUUCUAUUACAGAUUUAAUCAGUGGAAUGAAAAAUCAAGUUAUUCUGCUGUGCAACCACUAGUAGCUAAAAAACUGGCUCACUGCUCUGUGUGCUGCCAUCCAGGCUCACCUAAGGAUCAUGAAUGUAAUGGAUGCAAAUUAUGUAAAAGUGAUAGAUACUGUGAACCGCAUGACUAUGAAUACUCCUGUCCUUGUGAAUGGCACCAGACAGAACAUGAUAGGCAACUAAAUGGAGUGGAGAACAAUAUUAAGAGAGAUUUACCCUUGAAAAAAUGGAAUGGCCCAAUCCCUAUGCAUGUGAGAAAUUGUUGGUACUUUUGACCCGCUAUGACAUGAAAGAAAGAAAACUUGGUAGAAGGAACUCUAAACAAUUACAGCCAAUACGAAUUGUUAAACCCCGAAUCAGAAAUGGAGUUCAUUGUUUUCAAGUAGAAUGGGAAAAGCCUGAACAUUAUGCUUUAGAAGAACAACAACAUGGAGAAUUGCUUCUACUUACAAUCGAAGAAGAAUCAUUGUUUACAGCAGCCUAUCCUGAGAUUGUAGCUGACUACCAAAAACAAAAAUUAGAAAUUAAAGGGAAGAAACCAAAAAAA
This 614-nucleotide long non-coding RNA is filed under the name Ictidomys tridecemlineatus (thirteen-lined ground squirrel). RNAcentral describes it as "lncRNA (ENSSTOG00000034961.1)". The record is from RNAcentral. Lineage: Eukaryota; Metazoa; Chordata; Mammalia; Rodentia; Sciuridae.